RNA transcript from Hippocampus comes (tiger tail seahorse), 490 nucleotides. It is a transcript of the gene named spindlin interactor and repressor of chromatin binding, with no coding region annotated. Lineage: Eukaryota; Metazoa; Chordata; Actinopteri; Syngnathiformes; Syngnathidae. The record is from RefSeq and is a predicted model, not a curated record. The transcript has 3 exons.
UUUUUGCAGCAAUUCGGUGGACAGCAGGGACGACUCUCACGACACGGAACCAUUACAAGAUGAGCUUCUGUCAGCCGACGCCGAGCGCACCCCCGGUGAGGAAGAUCCCGUGUCAGAGGGCACGUGGAGGAAUUUCUACCUCAUGGACUACGACCCCAUCAACCAGCUGCUGGUGUGCAUGGCGUGCGGCGAGCAGCAGCACUCGCACAGCCCAGAGGGAGCGCUGGCGCACAUCGACGAGGCCCACCCGCACACGCGCGCCCUGGAGCCCGCCGAGCGCCGCCGCAUCCUCGAGGCCUGGGACGAGCAGGUGUCCCGGCGCGAGCGCUUCUUCACUCGGCAGCUCCAGCGGCGCGCCGCAACUCCGGCAGAAACGUACAGCAACUGAACUGCGGGACAAAAGCAACCUUUUCUGGCAUGACGACGACGUUCCAUCGAGAAGUUGUUCAUUGAGACAAAGCAAUUGAUAAACACACACAUCAGGGAUCGG